Molecule: non-coding RNA, 345 nt
Organism: Tinamus guttatus (white-throated tinamou)
Lineage: Eukaryota; Metazoa; Chordata; Aves; Tinamiformes; Tinamidae
Source: RefSeq, a predicted model, not a curated record
AUGACCUCUAGGGUCAUCAAUACUGAAUGCGUUUUGAUUUCAGGUGGCAGAAAAGGCCCCCAAAUCCAGCUGAGAUCACCACUAUUUCUGUAUAUACAGAUUGAGGCUUAACUGCAUGGAGUAGUUUUUUAUUGUUUCUGUCCAGGAGGAUGAAGCAAGGAUUCUGAUUUAAUAAAUGAUGUGUGUGAGACAUGGAUGAUGACAAGCAAUCAUUGAUUUACCCAGCUCUAGUUUUCAAACGCUGCAAUUGUUUUCCUAUUUUGUGGCCACUGUAUCUGAAACUAUAUCAUAUGUAAGGAGAAGUCCAAAGCAUGCCAGCAGAACAGGAGCACUCGACCAAUCCUU